RNAcentral lists this non-coding RNA (27 nucleotides) under Rattus norvegicus (Norway rat). The record is from RNAcentral. Lineage: Eukaryota; Metazoa; Chordata; Mammalia; Rodentia; Muridae.
UAUGUCUACUGUCUUGCAAGGCCCUGG